Molecule: long non-coding RNA, 634 nt
Filed under: Brachypodium distachyon (stiff brome)
Lineage: Eukaryota; Viridiplantae; Streptophyta; Magnoliopsida; Poales; Poaceae
Description: long non-coding RNA (BDIS_LNC000176)
Source: RNAcentral
GGGCGCCCAAAGCAAGUCAAUUGUGGAUUACGACGACAUUGGUUUAGACAUGAAGGCCAGGUGUUCAUAUAUAUAUAGGAGGAUGACACACGUGGUCAUGACCGUAUACAUGACCAUGCAUCCACACCCACUAUAUGUCGUACGUAAUAUUCACGCAUCACAGAUGAAAAAUACGCAGCAAGGAAAGAUCUUCUUCCAUUCAUAUGUAGUAUAUGGUCCGGUUAAUAAAUUCCGAUGAUGAGCGUUGAGUUCUUGAGGUGGCGCUUUUUUUUUUUUGAAGGGGGUUCUUGAGGUGGCUAUACUAGCUAGCAAUCAUAUAUCGUGGCAUAACCAUUUUCUUAGGCAUGUUACGGAGUUAAGCAUAGUGUCAUCAAUCGCCAUCACAAUUUACCAUUUGCUGUGCCAGGUGCUGCCGUUGAGCACCAUCAGUACUGCUGUUUCUGAUUGAUUGCGCCGUACGUGCAAAUCUCUGAUUGGUGAUCACCAUUGAACGGCCGCAACCAGGUGCAAAUCCAUUGCGUACGGAAGCUCUCCAUUUAAUCACUGCUAGCCAGAGGCCAGAUGGAGCAUGCGUACGUGCUAGCUGGAGUUUAGUCCUGAGGAAGCACGCACCACACAUCCUUCUCAACUCCUC